UCAUAUGUUUGUUUUUUCUUACUCCAGCUACAUAUUCUAAGUCUAUAUUAUUUUUACAUGCUUAUUUGAUACACAGGAAAGUUGUGUGAAGAACAAACUUAAUCGUGAAAAAGUACAGUAUCAACAAUGCACAGGCUCUCAGUCCUACAUUGCAAAGGCUUUUAUAUUGAAGCAAGAAAAAUAUAAGGACGUGGAACCUAGUGCAAUUGAUCUUUUCAAGGACAUGCAUUGUAGCAAAAAGAAAGGUUUUAGUGAAAAUGUUCAGAAAGCUAUUGUUGACAUGGAAGAAAUGGUAGCAGCACCAGUUCAGGAUGGACAACAACCAAAAUCUCCUACAGAAGUUGUUUCUAAUGUGCUACCAGGCUCCAGUGUGUUCCUACACAAUGUUGGUCUUAAGUCCGCCUCCAAGAAAAGCUCCACAACGACUGUUUCUGCAAAGGUUCAACAACUUCAGGAUGAACUAGAAACCGAGAAGCAAGAAAAAGAUGGCCUUCGGGAAGAAGUGGAAACCUUGAAGGCUCAAGCACAAGCAUCUCAGGAGACCAUUAGUAGUAUGAAGAGGUCGAUGGAAGAAAAUAACAACCUCCUUCGUCAACUAUUAAGCUUCAAUCGAGGCC
RNA transcript from Zea mays, 617 nucleotides. RefSeq lists it as uncharacterized. The transcript has 3 exons. The record is from RefSeq and is a predicted model, not a curated record. Lineage: Eukaryota; Viridiplantae; Streptophyta; Magnoliopsida; Poales; Poaceae.